Molecule: ribosomal RNA, 520 nt
Filed under: uncultured Actinomadura sp.
Lineage: Bacteria; Bacillati; Actinomycetota; Actinomycetes; Streptosporangiales; Thermomonosporaceae
Description: bacterial SSU rRNA
Rfam family: Bacterial small subunit ribosomal RNA
Source: RNAcentral
AGAGUUUGAUCCUGGCUCAGGACGAACGCUGGCGGCGUGCUUAACACAUGCAAGUCGAGCGGAAAGGCCCCUUCGGGGGUACUCGAGCGGCGAACGGGUGAGUAACACGUGAGCAACCUGCCCCUGACUCUGGGAUAAGCCUGGGAAACUGGGUCUAAUACCGGAUACGACCCGCCAUCGCAUGGUGUGCGGGUGGAAAGAUUUUAUCGGUUGGGGAUGGGCUCGCGGCCUAUCAGCUUGUUGGUGGGGUGAUGGCCUACCAAGGCGACGACGGGUAACCGGCCUGAGAGGGCGACCGGUCACACUGGGACUGAGACACGGCCCAGACUCCUACGGGAGGCAGCAGUGGGGAAUAUUGCGCAAUGGGCAGAAGCCUGACGCAGCGACGCCGCGUGGGGGAUGACGGCCUUCGGGUUGUAAACCCCUUUCAGCAUCGACGAAGCUUCAUCCUUGCAGGGUGGGGUGACGGUAGGUGCAAAAAAAGCGCCGGCUAACUACGUGCCAGCAGCCGCGGUAAUAC